This 492-nucleotide ribosomal RNA is filed under the name uncultured bacterium. RNAcentral describes it as "partial 16S ribosomal RNA". It matches the Rfam family "Bacterial small subunit ribosomal RNA", at positions 29 to 507 of the family's 1533-position model. The record is from RNAcentral.
AGUGAACGCUGGCGGUAGGCCUAACACAUGCAAGUCGAACGGCAGCACAGUAAGAGCUUGCUCUUACGGGUGGCGAGUGGCGGACGGGUGAGGAAUACAUCGGAAUCUACUUUUUCGUGGGGGAUAACGUAGGGAAACUUACGCUAAUACCGCAUACGACCUACGGGUGAAAGCAGUGGAUCUUCGGACCUUGCCCGAUUGAAUGAGCCGAUGUCGGAUUAGCUAGUUGGCUGGGUAAAGUCCCACCAAGGCGACGAUCCGUAGCUGGUCUGAGAGGAUGAUCAGCCACACUGGAACUGAGACACGGUCCAGACUCCUACGGGAGGCAGCAGUGGGGAAUAUUGGACAAUGGGCGCAAGCCUGAUCCAGCCAUACCGCGUGGGUGAAGAAGGCCUUCGGGUUGUAAAGCCCUUUUGUUGGGAAAGAAAAGCAGCAGGUUAAUACCCCGCUGUUCUGACGGUACCCAAAGAAUAAGCACCGGCUAACUUCGUG